Molecule: long non-coding RNA, 670 nt
Organism: Helianthus annuus (common sunflower)
Lineage: Eukaryota; Viridiplantae; Streptophyta; Magnoliopsida; Asterales; Asteraceae
Exons: 3
Source: RefSeq, a predicted model, not a curated record
UAUCCCUCAUCAUCAUCAUCUUCUUCUUCUUCCCUCUCUAAAAAAAAACCCUACCACCUAAUCUACCUGCCACCGUCACCUCCUUUAACCUCCACCGCCACUUUGACAAAUUAAACCCACCACCAAUGGUUCCAGGAGCUUCUUUCUUCCUCUCUCUGUCUAUAAUGAUACUUUGCUCGAAAUUUCAUCCCAUUUUUAUAGUUGAUAUCAUCGAUUAAGGGUUCUAGCUGCGAUGUACAGAAGUCUGGUUUCAGCGUCCCAAAGACAUUGUACGGAAACUGCUUUCAGGGGAUCUAGACCUUGGUAUUGUCGACCUUCACACGUUUAGCGAAUAUGGACAUGUAACACAAUAGUAAAUGAUCUUUGACACAAAAUUGAAUGACAGUAAAGAAUGAACAGUUAGACACGAACAGGAACAGGUGAAAGUGGUGGGGUCGUCGUCGCCGGAAAUGCUUCCAUAGGUGGUGGGUUUAAUUUCUGAAAGUGGCGGUGGAGGUUGAAGGAGGUGAUGGUGGCAGGUAGAUUAGGUGGUAGGGUUUUUUUAGAGAGGGAAGAAGACGAUGAUGAUGGGGUAGGCCUUUGUUUUAAGUUUUUAAAUUGUUCAAGGGUAAUAUAGUCAUUUCACACAUAGUUAACUAAGAAAUUUAACAAAGGUUAGGUCAGGGGACCA